GACGAACGCUGGCGGCGUGCUUAACACAUGCAAGUCGAACGAGACGAUUGAAAGCUUGCUUUCGAAAGUCGAGUGGCAAACGGGUGAGUAACGCGUAGACAACCUGCCUUUGAGAUGGGGACAACAGUUCGAAAGGACUGCUAAUACCGAAUGUUGUAUAUUUUCCACAUGGAAGAUAUAUUAAAGAUGGCCUCUAUUUAUAAGCUAUCGCUCAAAGAUGGGUCUGCGUCUGAUUAGCUAGUUGGUGGGGUAACGGCCUACCAAGGCGACGAUCAGUAGCCGGUCGGAGAGGAUGAACGGCCACAUUGGGACUGAGACACGGCCCAGACUCCUACGGGAGGCAGCAGUGGGGAAUCUUCCACAAUGGACGAAAGUCUGAUGGAGCAACGCCGCGUGAGUGAAGAAGGGUUUCGGCUCGUAAAGCUCUGUUGUCGGGGACGAAUGUGCAUUACUUGAAUAAAGUAGUGUAAUGACGGUACCUGACGAGGAAGCCACGGCUAACUACGUGCCAGCAGCCGCAGUAA
RNAcentral lists this ribosomal RNA (524 nucleotides) under uncultured bacterium. RNAcentral's name for it is "partial 16S ribosomal RNA". It matches the Rfam family "Bacterial small subunit ribosomal RNA", at positions 28 to 523 of the family's 1533-position model. The record is from RNAcentral.